Non-coding RNA from Chlorocebus sabaeus (green monkey), 472 nucleotides. The record is from RefSeq and is a predicted model, not a curated record. Lineage: Eukaryota; Metazoa; Chordata; Mammalia; Primates; Cercopithecidae.
GGUUGAACUAAAUGACCGACUGAAUCCAGCAGUGUUACUGAACAUCUACAAUGUGCCAGGCAUUGUCAGAGGGAGACAGAGGGCUAGAAAUGGAAAGCGGUGAAGGUUGGACGGCUCAUCCUGUCUCACCAGCUCACAGACUGAUGCAAUAUCAGAGCUGGAAGAUUCCUUGGUCAUUAUCUCAAUACCCUCUACCCCAUUUCAUGGAUGAGAAAAUUGAAGAUCAAAGAGGGGACUCAGUUCAAGGGGUCAGUGAGAGGCUGUAGUUUGAGUGGUGCUGGUGCGGAUGCUGGUGCUGGUGCUGGUGGUGAUGCCUUCCUGAAGCUGCAGUGAGGAACGGCGUGCCCCCAUUCUCCUCAAUGCCAAAAGCCUCAUCUCCUGCUACAUCCUUCUACUUCACACCCUAACUCCUUCCCAUCCUGAUGCCUCUCACUUCUUGGUGCCUCCUGGAGUCCUUCCUCAUCUGUCAACC